Molecule: ribosomal RNA, 1354 nt
Filed under: uncultured Agromyces sp.
Lineage: Bacteria; Bacillati; Actinomycetota; Actinomycetes; Micrococcales; Microbacteriaceae
Description: bacterial SSU rRNA
Rfam family: Bacterial small subunit ribosomal RNA
Source: RNAcentral
GACGAACGCUGGCGGCGUGCUUAACACAUGCAAGUCGAACGAUGAUCCGGUGCUUGCGCCGGGGAUUAGUGGCGAACGGGUGAGUAACACGUGAGUAACCUGCCCUGGACUCUGGGAUAACCCCGAGAAAUCGGAGCUAAUACCGGAUAGGACCUUGGACCGCAUGGUUCGGGGUGGAAAGUUUUUUCGGUUUGGGAUGGACUCGCGGCCUAUCAGCUUGUUGGUGAGGUAAUGGCUCACCAAGGCGUCGACGGGUAGCCGGCCUGAGAGGGUGACCGGCCACACUGGGACUGAGACACGGCCCAGACUCCUACGGGAGGCAGCAGUGGGGAAUAUUGCACAAUGGGCGCAAGCCUGAUGCAGCAACGCCGCGUGCGGGAGGACGGCCUUCGGGUUGUAAACCGCUUUUGGUGAGGAAGAAGGGGCUCUUUUUGGGGGUCUUGACGGUACUUGCAGAAAAAGGACCGGCUAACUACGUGCCAGCAGCCGCGGUAAUACGUAGGGUCCGAGCGUUGUCCGGAAUUAUUGGGCGUAGAGAGCUCGUAGGCGGUUUGUCGCGUCUGCUGUGAAAUCCCGAGGCUCAACCUCGGGUCUGCAGUGGGUACGGGCAGACUGGAGUGCGGUAGGGGAGAAUGGAAUUCCUGGUGUAGCGGUGGAAUGCGCAGAUAUCAGGAGGAACACCGAUGGCGAAGGCAGUUCUCUGGGCCGUAACUGACGCUGAGGAGCGAAAGCGUGGGGAGCGAACAGGAUUAGAUACCCUGGUAGUCCACGCCGUAAACGUUGGGCGCUAGAUGUGGGGACCUUUCCACGGUUUCCGUGUCGUAGCUAACGCAUUAAGCGCCCCGCCUGGGGAGUACGGCCGCAAGGCUAAAACUCAAAGGAAUUGACGGGGGCCCGCACAAGCGGCGGAGCAUGCGGAUUAAUUCGAUGCAACGCGAAGAACCUUACCAAGGCUUGACAUACACCAGAACACCCUGGAGACAGGGGACUCUUUGGACACUGGUGUACAGGUGGUGCAUGGUUGUCGUCAGCUCGUGUCGUGAGAUGUUGGGUUAAGUCCCGCAACGAGCGCAACCCUCGUCGCAUGUUGCCAGCACGUCAUGGUGGGAACUCAUGUGAGACUGCCGGGGUCAACUCGGAGGAAGGUGGGGAUGACGUCAAAUCAUCAUGCCCCUUAUGUCUUGGGCUUCACGCAUGCUACAAUGGCCGGUACAAAGGGCUGCGAUGUCGUAAGGCGGAGCGAAUCCCAAAAAGCCGGUCUCAGUUCGGAUUGAGGUCUGCAACCCGACCUCAUGAAGUCGGAGUCGCUAGUAAUCGCAGAUCAGCAACGCUGCGGUGAAUACGUUCCCGGGCC